CCGGAUGCUGGGUGCUCCUUGCCAUGCUUCAGGGUGUAAGCGAUGUGAGGAUGUGGUGUUACAGUACAGGUCUAAGUUUUCUCUAUCAACCAUCAUAGGCCAGGAUGCAGGGGCGCCAGGCUCCAUCACCUUCCGUGACCUCUGAGCCGUGAUCUGGGAAGAGGAGGAGGGACCGUUUUCCUGGCCAGGAUUGCAGGGGUUCCAGGGAUCAAACUCGGAUCAUCGAGGCUUACAUAGCAAGUGCCAUCUCACUAGCUCUGGGCUAGCUCUUGGUGGGAAACGGAGACUAAGAGGCCCGGGAGCUGGCUCGGGACUACCCCUAGCAAGGGCUCCUCCUCCCCGGCGUCCAGGCUGAGAGUGCAUCUCCUCAUCUGCUGAGCUGUGGGGUUGCCUGAGACCAUCCCGCAUACCAGACAUUUGCAUUACCGUUCACAACCGUAGCAAAAUCACAGCUAUAAGGCAGAAAGGAAAAUGCUGUUAUGGUCGGGGGUCACCACGACAUGAGGAACUGUAUUCAAGGGAGGUUGAAAACCACGGCUAA
Long non-coding RNA from Peromyscus californicus insignis, 541 nucleotides. RefSeq lists it as uncharacterized. The record is from RefSeq and is a predicted model, not a curated record. The transcript is spliced from 5 exons. Lineage: Eukaryota; Metazoa; Chordata; Mammalia; Rodentia; Cricetidae.